Molecule: long non-coding RNA, 747 nt
Organism: Choloepus didactylus (southern two-toed sloth)
Lineage: Eukaryota; Metazoa; Chordata; Mammalia; Pilosa; Megalonychidae
Exons: 3
Source: RefSeq, a predicted model, not a curated record
CUUGUAAGUUGUCACUUUCUUCAAGCAAAACAACUGGCUCCAAUUUCAAGAUGAGGUUUUUGUUGUUGCUGUCGUCUGCCAUGCUGCGUUUGGUUUACUGGAGUUUCUCUCUGUUGCAUUUACUUGAUUCUUUAUCAGCUUGAUAAGAGCAGUGAACUUUCAGCCUGUCCCUUUUUGUACACUCAGACUACAGACAAACACUGAAGAUGUUAAACAGAAGGUGUUACCUAGAAUGCAGAGACCAUCUGUGCAGUUUUCGGAUUCCUGGCUUAUACCCUCACAGAAUUUGCCCCCGUUUCUUGGGGGAGGUGCAGUGCACUCUCGGAUCCUCAGAUGCUCACACUCCGGACUGCAGACUGACCAUCCACUCCACACUUCCCAGCUGCCAUCCACUUCGAAGAGAAACAACAGAAACCACCAUUAGGAUGAACCAGGCAGCUCUCAGUUCACUCACCCCAGGACUGCUGCUGUUCUUGGAGCUAGAUUUUAAAGAAAUCACCACCACAACAAAAACACAAUGAUAUGUCAAUUUAUCUUCUCUCCAUGGUUUCUUUCCUAAAGAGGUAUCCUAACAAAAACAUUGAUAUAAUUCCUUUGCUAUUUCAGGGUGAGGCCAAUUGCUGAAUUUACGCAAGUAACCAAUGCCCUUGGGUUGGUUAAUAAAGUCAUUGUCCAUUCUUCCCCAGUCUUUUGUGCACAACUGUAUCUUAGAUGGACAGAUACUACACACAGUAACCGCUGGUAAUC